Oryza nivara is the source of this 204-nucleotide non-coding RNA. The record is from Rfam. NCBI's taxonomy places the organism in Eukaryota, Viridiplantae, Streptophyta, Magnoliopsida, Poales, Poaceae.
AACCAGGCAAACCCUCGGUUUCCGUGUCCAACUUUGACUGUCCGUCUUAUAUGAAAUUUUUUUAUAAUUCAUAUUUUCAUUGUUGUUAGAUGAUAAAACAUGAUUAAUAUUUUAUGCAUGACUUGUCUUUUUAAUUUUUUUCAUAAUUUUUUUAAAUAAGACGGACGGUCAAACGUUGGACAGGAAACCAGGGUUUGUCUUUUU